AACGAACGCUGGCGGCAUGCCUAACACAUGCAAGUCGAACGAGACCUUCGGGUCUAGUGGCGCACGGGUGCGUAACGCGUGGGAACCUGCCCUUAGGUUCGGAAUAAAUCCCCGAAAGGGGUGCUAAUACCGGAUAAUGUCUUCGGACCAAAGAUUUAUCGCCUUUGGAUGGGCCCGCGUUGGAUUAGCUAGUUGGUAGGGUAAAAGCCUACCAAGGCGACGAUCCAUAGCUGGUCUGAGAGGAUGAUCAGCCACACUGGGACUGAGACACGGCCCAGACUCCUACGGGAGGCAGCAGUGGGGAAUAUUGGACAAUGGGCGAAAGCCUGAUCCAGCAAUGCCGCGUGAGUGAUGAUGGCCUUAGGGUUGUAAAGCUCUUUUACCCGGGAUGAUAAUGACAGUACCGGGAGAAUAAGCUCCGGCUAACUCCGUG
This 433-nucleotide ribosomal RNA is filed under the name uncultured bacterium. RNAcentral's name for it is "partial 16S ribosomal RNA". It matches the Rfam family "Bacterial small subunit ribosomal RNA", at positions 29 to 507 of the family's 1533-position model. The record is from RNAcentral.